CACAGUUCAUCAUUUUUCCCGUGUCCUUCAUUUUGCUUCCCAUCCCUUUUGCUUGUGCAUUUUUCUUCCCUUCCCUUUCUCUUGUGCAGAACUCGUCCUCUCUUUCUUUCAUUCUUCAUAAUCUUUUGUUGUCUAUUUUUCCCUUGCUACUCCAAGAGCACCGGAAGAAAGGUUUGUUCAAGAGAUGAUAAAACUCAUUUCAUUUGGUUUGAUCGAAGGGAUUUUUCCAUCUUGAAUUUUUUGUUUUGUAGGCAUACUUGAGGGGGUUUUGAAUAAUUUAGAGUGGAAGAAAAUUUCAUGAAUAGUUUGGAAUAAAAAUAUCAUUUGAUUGAUAGGGAGAAGGAGGUUCUAAAGAAUUUUCAGAGUUGUUAAUUGAGAAAGACUCGUGUGCUGCUGCAAAAUAAGAAGAUGAACUUAGAGAUCUAAUCUGCAAAGCUUGAGAGACUAAAAGAGAAAGGAGAAGAUUUUGAGAUCUGGAAAGAAGAAGAUGAAGCAUGUUGGGUUUCAAUAUUUUGAAUGAUUCAAAACCAAUAACUAACGUUUAGGUGGAUAAUGCAUUUAUUAUAUUGUGAAUUUUUUUAUAUAAUUGAAAGUAUUAGGAGCAGGUGUAAUUAUAUGCUCGAUUUAUUUAUUUUAUAUAAUUAAAAAGUAUUAGGGGCGGAUGCUUCUGCCUGUGAUGAUGUGUAUUUAUAAAACUUGCCAACACGGCAACAAAAACAUUAGGGGCGGAUGUUUGACA
Long non-coding RNA from Pyrus x bretschneideri (Chinese white pear), 739 nucleotides. RefSeq lists it as uncharacterized. The transcript has 2 exons. The record is from RefSeq and is a predicted model, not a curated record. NCBI's taxonomy places the organism in Eukaryota, Viridiplantae, Streptophyta, Magnoliopsida, Rosales, Rosaceae.